UGCCCAUUCCUGGCCCAGCAGAGCCCCCUUU
This 31-nucleotide non-coding RNA is filed under the name Macaca fascicularis (crab-eating macaque). The record is from RNAcentral. Lineage: Eukaryota; Metazoa; Chordata; Mammalia; Primates; Cercopithecidae. RNAcentral also lists the same sequence under 1 other name.